Molecule: ribosomal RNA, 468 nt
Filed under: uncultured bacterium
Lineage: Bacteria
Description: partial 16S ribosomal RNA
Rfam family: Bacterial small subunit ribosomal RNA
Source: RNAcentral
GACGAACGCUGGCGGCGUGCUUAACACAUGCAAGUCGAACGGAAAGGCCCUGCUUUUGUGGGGUGCUCGAGUGGCGAACGGGUGAGUAACACGUGAGUAACCUGCCCUUGACUUUGGGAUAACUUCAGGAAACUGGGGCUAAUACCGGAUAGGAGCUCCUGCUGCAUGGUGGGGGUUGGAAAGUUUCGGCGGUUGGGGAUGGACUCGCGGCUUAUCAGCUUGUUGGUGGGGGAGUGGCUUACCAAGGCUUUGACGGGUAGCCGGCCUGAGAGGGUGACCGGCCACAUUGGGACUGAGAUACGGCCCAGACUCCUACGGGAGGCAGCAGGGGGGAAUAUUGCACAAUGGGCGGAAGCCUGAUGCAGCAAAGCCGCGUGCGGGAUGACGGCCUUCGGGUUGUAAACCGCUUUCGCCUGUGACGAAGCGUGAGUGACGGUAAUGGGUAAAGAAGCACCGGCUAACUACGUG